This 481-nucleotide ribosomal RNA is filed under the name uncultured bacterium. Its description in RNAcentral is "partial 16S ribosomal RNA". It matches the Rfam family "Bacterial small subunit ribosomal RNA", at positions 28 to 506 of the family's 1533-position model. The record is from RNAcentral.
GACGAACGCUGGCGGCGUGCUUAACACAUGCAAGUCGAACGCUGAAGCUCAGCUUGCUGGGUGGAUGAGUGGCGAACGGGUGAGUAACACGUGAGUAACCUGCUCUCUUCUUUGGGAUAACGCCCGGAAACGGGUGUUAUUACUUGAUAUUCACUGAUUCUCGCUUGGGUGUUGGUGGGAAGGUUUUUUCUGGUGGUGGGUGGGGUCACCGCAUAUCAGCUUGUUGGUGGGGUGAUGGCGUAACAAGGCUUUGGCGGGUAGCGGGACUGAGCAGGUGCCCGGCAACAUUAGGACGGAGAUGCGGACAAGACUACGGCAGGCGGCAGCAGUGGGUAAUAAUGCACAAUGGGCGAAAGGCUGAUGCCGCGACGCGGCGAGGGGGAUGGUGGCCUUGGGUGUGUAAUGCUCUUUCGAUCAUGGUAAAGCCGGAGCUUUGGGUUGUGGUGAGGGUAGUGGGUAAAGAAGCGCGGGCUAACUACGU